GUCGUCAGGACAAUCGCGGCUGUCCAAACAGGACAGAUGAGGAAAGUCCGGGCUCCACAGGGCAGUGUGCUGGAUAACGUCCAGCGAGGGCAACCUUAGGGAAAGUGCCAUAGAGAUUGAGACCGCCUGCCUAUGCAAACAGGUCAGGUAAGGGUGGAAAGGUGCGGUAAGAGCGCACCAGCAGUCAGGUGACUGGCUGGCUGGGUAAACCCCACACGGAGCAAGACCAAAUAGGGAAGGUAUGAUGCGGCCCGCGGACCUUCCGGGUUGCGUCGCUUGAGCCGGCAGGUAACUGCCGUGCCUAGAUAAAUGAUUGUCACCGCCUGCGGGCGGCACAGAACUCGGCUUAUUGAUUGC
This 357-nucleotide RNase P RNA is filed under the name bovine gut metagenome. RNAcentral's name for it is "Bacterial RNase P class A". It matches the Rfam family "Bacterial RNase P class A". Rfam says of the family: Ribonuclease P (RNase P) is a ubiquitous endoribonuclease, found in archaea, bacteria and eukarya as well as chloroplasts and mitochondria. The record is from RNAcentral.